Molecule: transfer-messenger RNA, 168 nt
Filed under: Alphaproteobacteria bacterium
Lineage: Bacteria; Pseudomonadati; Pseudomonadota; Alphaproteobacteria
Description: partial transfer-messenger RNA
Rfam family: Alphaproteobacteria transfer-messenger RNA
About the family: Bacterial tmRNA, also known as 10Sa RNA or SsrA, is named for its dual tRNA and mRNA-like properties. Its role is to liberate the mRNA from a stalled ribosome.
Source: RNAcentral
AACCUUGCAAUUUCCAGUGCAAAGAUUUAUAAUUUACCCUGUUGCGUAAGCAAUGAUGAUUCUGAAUCCGUUGUGAAAUAAUCAUUAUGGACCCGGGGGCGGUACCCGGCACCUCCACCAAUAAUACAUACGGGGGUGUUACAGAUUCGACAGAUGACGAAAGACAAA